UACUCAUACAGAGCUUACAAGCCUAAGUAGUGUUUCCUUGUUAGAAGAUACAAAACCAAAGACAAGGACUCAUACGGACUUCGACUACACCAUCAAAGCGUUGAGAACCAAGAAAAAGCUUGGUUAGUGUUUUGGAGUAGAAUAUGAAUUGAUGCCAUGUGUAUGAUUAAGUAUAAGAACUUAAUCCGCAACCGGAUCUUAAAAGGCUAAGUAGUGUUUCCUUGUUAGAAGAUACAAAGCCAAAGACUCAUACGGAUUUUAGCUACACCAUCAAAGCUUUGAGAAGCAAGAAGAAGCUUGGUUAGUGUUUUGGAAUCAAAUAUGACUUGAUGUCAUAUGUAUGAGUGAGUAUAACAACUAGAAUCGCAACCGGAUCUUAAAAGCCUAAGUAUUGUAUCCUUGUUAGAAGAUAUAAAGACAAAUACUCAUACAGAGCUUACAAGCCUAAGUACUGUUUCCUUGUUAGAAGAUACAAAACCGAAGACUCAUACGGAGUUUAGCUACACCAUCAAAGCUUUGAGAACCAAGAAGAAGAUUGGUUAGUGUUUUGGAGUGAAAUAUGACUAGAUGUCACGUGUAUGAUUGAGUAUAAGAACUUAAACCGCAACCGAAUCUUAAAAGCCUAAGUAAUGUUUCCUUGUUAGAAGAUACAAAGCCAAAACCUCAUACAGACUUUAGCUACACCAUCAAAGCUUUGAGAAGCAAGAAGAAGCUUGGUUAGGGUUUUGGAGUCAAAUAUAACUAGAUGUCAUAUGUAUGAGUGAGUAUGAGAACUAGAACCGCAAUCGAGUCUUAAAAGCCUAAGUAUUGAAUCUUUGUUAGAAGAUACAAAGACAACGACUCAUACGGACUUUGACUACACCAUCAAAGCUUUGAGAACCAAGAAAAAGCUUGGUUAGUGUUUUGGAGUAGAAUAUGACU
This 921-nucleotide small RNA is filed under the name Arabidopsis thaliana (thale cress). RNAcentral's name for it is "ATSL270670". The record is from RNAcentral. Lineage: Eukaryota; Viridiplantae; Streptophyta; Magnoliopsida; Brassicales; Brassicaceae.